This 168-nucleotide ribosomal RNA is filed under the name uncultured bacterium. Its description in RNAcentral is "partial 16S ribosomal RNA". It matches the Rfam family "Bacterial small subunit ribosomal RNA", at positions 338 to 523 of the family's 1533-position model. The record is from RNAcentral.
CCUACGGGAGGCAGCAGUGGGGAAUAUUGUACAAUGGGCGCAAGCCUGAUACAGCAAUGCCGCGUGAGUGAAGAAGGCCUUAGGGUUGUAAAACUCUUUCGCCGGGGAUGAUAAUGACAGUACCUGGUAAAGAAACCCCGGCUAACUCCGUGCCAGCAGCCGCGGUAA